CGGGCGGGAAGCGUUAGUGCGACCUCGGGCUGGAAGGGUCGCUCUCGUCCGUGCUCGGGCUCCACGGAGCAAGAGAGGCUUGGAAGCGCCCAGCCUCCUCCGUUACUCCCUCAGCACCAGCAUCUGAAUCUCAGUGGACUUCUGAGCAUCUUUCAGUGGGUCAGCGCUGAAAACGUAAUGGAGAAUAGACCGUGUGGUUGUCUGAUACAAAGGCCUCAGCAACAGACCCAUAAAAGAGACUCUUGAUGGAACCACAGUCCCGGGCUGAGCUCCAAAGCAUUGCUUAUAAUCAAAAACUUAUCUGGAGAAAGAAACUCCAAUUAAAAACUGAUUUUCUCCAUCAAACCAUUAGCAGCAGAAUACAUCCCAUCAUCGUUUAAAGAAACACAAGAAAUGAAGAUGGCUUCUUAGCUUAGGACAGCAGGACCUUCCAAUUUUUCAAAUUCAUCUCAAACAUCCCUGGGAGCAGCAUACAUUGCUUGUGGUCAGCAGCACAGAUACCACCUCCUUGGAGACGGCAUGGGUCAGUGAGCCUUUCCUGCUUUGGUGCCCUUCCUCAGCAUGGCUAACAUAGAUGAGGAACGCUUCAAAAAAUGAGAGGAUAACAGCAAACAGCCUGACGGAAAAUAAGCAGAAAAGACGCGAGGAGGGAUAGCUCUGAGACAAGAAAGGAGAAUGGAGAAGGC
RNAcentral lists this long non-coding RNA (686 nucleotides) under Gallus gallus (chicken). Lineage: Eukaryota; Metazoa; Chordata; Aves; Galliformes; Phasianidae. The record is from RNAcentral.